Long non-coding RNA from Vicia villosa (hairy vetch), 990 nucleotides. RefSeq lists it as uncharacterized. The transcript is spliced from 3 exons. The record is from RefSeq and is a predicted model, not a curated record. Lineage: Eukaryota; Viridiplantae; Streptophyta; Magnoliopsida; Fabales; Fabaceae.
AUUCUCAAAAGCGCUGCUAGAGGCCCAUAUUAGCCAGCGCUUGCUAAAUGCAUACCUUAGCCAGCGCUUUUUCUCCAAAGCGCUGUCUUAGGCGAAUUAUAUUAAAACUAUUAAAAAAUAUAUUCUAAUCCCAAACGAAAAACCCUUACUUUUCUAUUCUGUAUCGUUCUUCUUCUCUCUCAGACGAAUAACCCUAGAAAUCGAACCCAAAUCUUCUCCAUCCAUUUCAACAGCUAUUCCAUCAACAUUCCAUCUCUACUUUUUUUCAACUUAAAAUUGCAUUUCGUUUUCGCGACCAACAUAUUUGAAGGAAAUUUCAUUUCGUUUUCGCGACCUAAAGUUCAAACUGUGAGGAAUUUCGCAGAAUUUCUCGUGCCAUACGCAUUCCAAAUUGAUUUCUUGAUCGUGAUUCACGACUUCACACAUUUUCCAACUGAAUUUGUUUGAGAUUCCCUCCUUCACGCUUCAGAUUUUGUGGUUUUUGUAGUGUUCAUGAUUAGCACCUUCACAAGACACAGUUCAAAUUAUUGUCUCUGAUUAUUUGAUGUUCAACUGAAACCAGUCAGACCGCCGUCACCAGCAAACCACUGCUCCUCGCCAGAAAAUCGCCGCUCAGUUAACUGUCGUAAACGCCUCCACAGGUUAAUUAGAUGGCUAGUAACGAGGAUCAACCACAUGAUGAUGAUAUUGAUGAUGGAGAUCAUGAGAACAUUGUUGAUCAGGAAGCGGAAAUUAGAAGAGGAAUAACACUUAUGAAGAAAGUCAUUUGGAAUAGAGACCGAGGCAUACUAUUAGAUGCGCAUUGGAGCGAAAGUGACCUACUAAUUGAGCCUAACGGUUCAAAGAUUACAAGUUUUAUUGGUGCACUCGUAAGGAAUGCAAUUCCAAUUACUUGUGAUGAUUGGAGAGAUACAAAUUUGGAAGAAGCUAAAGACAAACUUUGGAUUGAGAUACAGGUACCAUAUGUGAUGUUAUUUGUUUUUAAUGAUG